UUACUCACCUGGCAGGGGAAAUACCAUGAUCAUGAAGGUGGUUUUCCCAGGGCAAGGCUCAUCCACUGCAUUCUGGAUGUGCUGACCUCCGCAAUUUCCCCAAAUGUGGGAAACUCGACUGCAUAAUUUGUGGCAGUGGGGGACUGUGUUAGUGCUUUCCCCUU
Molecule: small nuclear RNA, 164 nt
Filed under: Carlito syrichta (Philippine tarsier)
Lineage: Eukaryota; Metazoa; Chordata; Mammalia; Primates; Tarsiidae
Description: U1 spliceosomal RNA (ENSTSYG00000034652.1)
Rfam family: U1 spliceosomal RNA
About the family: U1 is a small nuclear RNA (snRNA) component of the spliceosome (involved in pre-mRNA splicing).
Source: Rfam by way of RNAcentral